This is a non-coding RNA of Mycena filopes, 91 nucleotides long. The record is from the annotation of a GenBank genome assembly. Lineage: Eukaryota; Fungi; Basidiomycota; Agaricomycetes; Agaricales; Mycenaceae.
UCCGGUGUGGUGUAUCGGUAACAUACGCGCCUCUCAUUAGCCGCAACAUUUGCUUACGCGCGUGCGCGGGGUUCGAUUCCCCGCACCGGAA